GCCUGUAUGGUAUAGUGGUUUGAGCAUUGGACUGUGACUCUGGAGACCAGGGUUUGAAUCCUAGCUCAGCCA
RNAcentral lists this transfer RNA (72 nucleotides) under Phrynosoma platyrhinos (Desert horned lizard). RNAcentral describes it as "tRNA-OTHER". The record is from RNAcentral. Lineage: Eukaryota; Metazoa; Chordata; Lepidosauria; Squamata; Phrynosomatidae.